Molecule: non-coding RNA, 252 nt
Filed under: Romboutsia timonensis
Lineage: Bacteria; Bacillati; Bacillota; Clostridia; Peptostreptococcales; Peptostreptococcaceae
Also listed under: 6 other names
Description: partial 16S ribosomal RNA
Rfam family: Bacterial small subunit ribosomal RNA
Source: RNAcentral
UACGUAGGGGGCUAGCGUUAUCCGGAAUUACUGGGCGUAAAGGGUGCGUAGGUGGUUUCUUAAGUCAGAGGUGAAAGGCUACGGCUCAACCGUAGUAAGCCUUUGAAACUGGGAAACUUGAGUGCAGGAGAGGAGAGUGGAAUUCCUAGUGUAGCGGUGAAAUGCGUAGAUAUUAGGAGGAACACCAGUUGCGAAGGCGGCUCUCUGGACUGUAACUGACACUGAGGCACGAAAGCGUGGGGAGCAAACAGG